AGAGUUUGAUCAUGGCUCAGAUUGAACGCUGGCGGUAUGCCUGACACAUGCAAGUCGAACGAGGUAGCAAUACCUAGUGGCGGACGGGUGAGGAAUACGUAGGGAUCUGCCCUUAAGUGGGGGAUAACCCGGGGAAACCCGGAUUAAUACCGCAUGAUCUCGCAAGAGCAAAGAGGGGGACCGCAAGGCCUCUCGCUUUUGGAGGAACCUACGUCGGAUUAGCUAGUUGGUGAGGUAAUGGCUCACCAAGGCGACGAUCCGUAACUGGUCUGAGAGGAUGAUCAGUCACGCCGGAACUGAGACACGGUCCGGACUCCUACGGGAGGCAGCAGUGGGGAAUAUUGGACAAUGGGCGAAAGCCUGAUCCAGCAAUACCGCGUGUGUGAAGAAGGCCUUCGGGUUGUAAAGCACUUUAAGUUGGGAAGAAAAAGCUUCACCUAAUACGUGAAGCCUUGACGGUACCGACAGAAUAAGCACCGGCUAACUCUGUGCCAGCAGCCGCGGUAAUACAGAGGGUGCUAGCGUUAAUCGGAUUUACUGGGCGUAAAGCGUGCGUAGGUGGUUUGAUAAGUCGAUUGUGAAAGCCCCGGGCUUAACCUGGGAAUUGCGGUCGAUACUGUCAGACUCGAAAACGGUAGGGGGAGGUGGAACUCCAGGUGUAGCGGUGAAAUGCGUAGAUAUCUGGAAGAACACCGAUGGCGAAGGCAGCUUCCUGGGCCUGUUUUGACACUGAGGCACGAAAGCGUGGGUAGCAAACAGGAUUAGAUACCCCGGUAGUCC
This 780-nucleotide ribosomal RNA is filed under the name uncultured bacterium. Its description in RNAcentral is "bacterial SSU rRNA". It matches the Rfam family "Bacterial small subunit ribosomal RNA", at positions 8 to 796 of the family's 1533-position model. The record is from RNAcentral.